AUGCGCGAUGACGAAUGUGUUGCCAAUCCUUGUAUAUACAACUCGGGCCUUGUAUAUACAAGGAUUGGCAACACAUUCGUCACAUUUUUAGGUGAUGAUGAAUCCGAUCAUCUGACUGACUCGCACCGCCGCCUUGGUGGAAAAAAUGUCUGCUUGAGUUGUCAAACAAUUAUGGCGGUACGUACGUCCAUUACGUGUUUGAUCACUACGACGAUGACCAGGACGUCCGGGGGGAUCGCAGACAGAUCGUGCGAGAUCCGGCCGGACGGCGAGGUUCGGUGCCCGUGCAAUGCAUGUGGAACACGAAACGGUCCCUCCCUCGCCCGCGUACGUUUUCCACGGCGUAGCCAAUGGGAAGCCAUGCGCAUUGGAUUCGAUCUCGAUCGGUUAAAUGGUGAUCUUCACUCAUAA
Molecule: ribosomal RNA, 411 nt
Filed under: Triticum aestivum (bread wheat)
Lineage: Eukaryota; Viridiplantae; Streptophyta; Magnoliopsida; Poales; Poaceae
Description: partial small subunit ribosomal RNA
Source: RNAcentral